This 87-nucleotide transfer RNA is filed under the name Gammaproteobacteria bacterium. RNAcentral describes it as "tRNA-Ser". It matches the Rfam family "tRNA". From Rfam's summary of the family: Transfer RNA (tRNA) molecules are approximately 80 nucleotides in length. Their secondary structure includes four short double-helical elements and three loops (D, anti-codon, and T loops). Lineage: Bacteria; Pseudomonadati; Pseudomonadota; Gammaproteobacteria. The record is from RNAcentral.
GGAGAGGUGGCUGAGUGGUCGAAGGCGGCGGUCUUGAAAACCGUUGACCGUUUGCGCGGUCCGGGGGUUCGAAUCCCUCCCUCUCCG